This 41-nucleotide non-coding RNA is filed under the name Lacticaseibacillus casei BL23. The record is from RNAcentral. RNAcentral also lists the same sequence under 1 other name. Lineage: Bacteria; Bacillati; Bacillota; Bacilli; Lactobacillales; Lactobacillaceae.
GGUUGGGCGGUGCUCAAGAAAGCUUUCUCGGGGAGGAAAGC